GACGAACGCUGGCGGCGUGCUUAACACAUGCAAGUCGAACGGAAAGGCCCUGCUCUUGUGGGGUGCUCGAGUGGCGAACGGGUGAGUAACACGUGAGUAACCUGCCCUUGACUUUGGGAUAACUUCAGGAAACUGGGGCUAAUACCGGAUAGGAGCUCCUGCUGCAUGGUGGGGGUUGGAAAGUUUCGGCGGUUGGGGAUGGACUCGCGGCUUAUCAGCUUGUUGGUGGGGUAGUGGCUUACCAAGGCUUUGCCGGGUAGCCGGCCUGAGAGGGUGACCGGCCACAAUGGGACUGAGAUACGGCCCAGACUCCUACGUGAGGCAGCAGUGGGGAAUAUUGCACAAUGGGCGGAAGCCUGAUGAAGCGACGCCGCGUGCGGGAUGGCGGGCUGCGGGUUGUAAACCGCUUUCGCCUGUGACGAAGCGUGAGUGACGGUAAUGGGUAAGGAAGCACCGGCUAACUACGUG
Molecule: ribosomal RNA, 468 nt
Filed under: uncultured bacterium
Lineage: Bacteria
Description: partial 16S ribosomal RNA
Rfam family: Bacterial small subunit ribosomal RNA
Source: RNAcentral